GGCAUUGAAAUCUCUUGAGCACAUAUUUAUCACCUUCCCUGGUCACAGAAGAUUCAUCCAUAUCAAGGAGGAGUUCUACAAGAUUGCAGCUUUUCCUAAUGUAAUUGGUACAGUGGAUUGCACCCAUAUUCGUAUCCAACGCCCCUCAGGGGCACAUGAGGGAGAUUAUGUUAACAGGAAAUCCUUCCACAGUGUCAAUGUUCAGAUGAUCUGUGAUGCUGACUGCCUUA
This is a long non-coding RNA of Xyrauchen texanus (razorback sucker), 230 nucleotides long. RefSeq lists it as uncharacterized. The transcript has 3 exons. Lineage: Eukaryota; Metazoa; Chordata; Actinopteri; Cypriniformes; Catostomidae. The record is from RefSeq and is a predicted model, not a curated record.